UACGAAGGUGGCAAGCGUUACUCGGAAUUACUAGGCGUAAAGGGCAGGUAGGCGGUCCGGUUAGUCUGUUGUGAAAGCUCCUUGCUUAACGGGGAGAGGCCAACAGAUACUGCCGGACUUGAGUAUAGGAGAGGGUACUGGAAUUCCCGGUGUAGCGGUGAAAUGCGCAGAGAUCGGGAGGAACACCAAUGGCGAAAGCAGGUACCUGGACUAUUACUGACGCUCAGCUGCGAAAGCUAGGGGAGCAAACAGG
Molecule: ribosomal RNA, 253 nt
Filed under: uncultured bacterium
Lineage: Bacteria
Description: partial 16S ribosomal RNA
Rfam family: Bacterial small subunit ribosomal RNA
Source: RNAcentral